UAGGGAAUCUUCCGCAAUGGACGCAAGUCUGACGGAGCAACGCCGCGUGAGUGAAGAAGGAUUUCGGUUCGUAAAACUCUGUUGUUAGAGAAGAACAGCGCAUAGAGUAACUGUUAUGCGUGUGACGGUAUCUAACCAGAAAGCCACGGCUAACUACGUGCCAGCAGCCGCGGUAAUACGUAGGUGGCAAGCGUUGUCCGGAUUUAUUGGGCGUAAAGCGAGCGCAGGCGGUCAAUUAAGUCUGAUGUGAAAGCCCCCGGCUCAACCGGGGCGGGUCAUUGGCAACUGGUUGACUUGAGUGCAGAAGAGGAGAGUGGAAUUCCAUGUGUAGCGGUGAAAUGCGUAGAUAUAUGGAGGAACACCAGUGGCGAAGGCGACUCUCUGGUCUGUAACUGACGCUGAGGUUCGAAAGCGUGGGUAGCAAACAGG
RNAcentral lists this ribosomal RNA (429 nucleotides) under Bacteroidota bacterium. RNAcentral's name for it is "Bacteroidetes bacterium partial 16S ribosomal RNA". It matches the Rfam family "Bacterial small subunit ribosomal RNA", at positions 355 to 776 of the family's 1533-position model. Lineage: Bacteria; Pseudomonadati; Bacteroidota. The record is from RNAcentral.